RNAcentral lists this ribosomal RNA (665 nucleotides) under Alcaligenes faecalis. RNAcentral's name for it is "bacterial SSU rRNA". It matches the Rfam family "Bacterial small subunit ribosomal RNA", at positions 394 to 1045 of the family's 1533-position model. Lineage: Bacteria; Pseudomonadati; Pseudomonadota; Betaproteobacteria; Burkholderiales; Alcaligenaceae. The record is from RNAcentral.
UGCCCGCGUGUAUGAUGAAGGCCUUCCGGAGUUGGUAAAGUACUGUUUGGCAGAGAAGAAAAGGUAUCCCCUAAUACGGGAUACUCGCUGACGGUAUCUGCAGAAUAAGCACCGGCUAACUACGUGCCAGCAGCCGCGGUAAUACGUAGGGUGCAAGCGUUAAUCGGAAUUACUGGGCGUAAAGCGUGUGUAGGCGGUUCGGAAAGAAAGAUGUGAAAUCCCAGGGCUCAACCUUGGAACUGCAUUUUUAACUGCCGAGCUAGAGUAUGUCAGAGGGGGGUAGAAUUCCCCGGGUAGCAGUGAAAUGCGUAAAUUUGUGGAGGAAUACCGAUGGCGAAGGCAGCCCCCUGGGAUAAUACUGACGCUCAAACACGAAAGGGGGGGGAGCAAACAGGAUUAAAUACCCUGGUAGUCCACGCCCUAAACGAUGUCAACUAGCUGUUGGGGCCGUUAGGCCUUAUUAGCGCAGCUAACGCGUGAAGUUGACCGCCUGGGGAGUACGGUCGCAAGAUUAAAACUCAAAGGAAUUGACGGGGACCCGCACAAGCGGUGGAUGAUGUGGAUUAUUUCGAUGCAACGCGAAAAACCUUACCUACCCUUGACAUGUCUGGAAAGCCGAAGAGAUUUGGCCGUGCUCGCAAGAGAACCGAAACACAGGUGCUGCA